AUUGAACGCUGGCGGCAUGCUUUACACAUGCAAGUCGAACGGCAGCACGGGUGCUUGCACCUGGUGGCGAGUGGCGGACGGGUGAGUAAUACAUCGGAACGUAUCCAGAAGAGGGGGAUAACGCAUCGAAAGAUGUGCUAAAUACCGCAUAUUCUCUGAGGAGGAAAGCAGGGGGAUCGCAAGACCUUGCGCUUUUGGAGCGGCCGAUGUCUGAUUAGCUAGUUGGUGGGGUAAAGGCCUACCAAGGCGACGAUCAGUAGUUGGUCUGAGAGGACGACCAGCCACACUGGGACUGAGACACGGCCCAGACUCCUACGGGAGGCAGCAGUGGGGAAUUUUGGACAAUGGGCGCAAGCCUGAUCCAGCCAUGCCGCGUGAGUGAAGAAGG
This 388-nucleotide ribosomal RNA is filed under the name uncultured bacterium. RNAcentral describes it as "bacterial SSU rRNA". It matches the Rfam family "Bacterial small subunit ribosomal RNA", at positions 30 to 414 of the family's 1533-position model. The record is from RNAcentral.